UACAGAGGGUGCAAGCGUUAAUCGGAAUUACUGGGCGUAAAGCGCGCGUAGGUGGUUUGUUAAGUUGGAUGUGAAAGCCCCGGGCUCAACCUGGGAACUGCAUCCAAAACUAGCAGACUAGAGGACGGUAGAGGGAGGUGGAAUUCCGGGUGUAGUGGUGAAAUGCGUAGAUAUCGGGAGGAAUACCAGUGGCGAAGGCGGCCUUCUGGACUGAUACUGACACUGAGGUGCGAAAGCGUGGGUAGCAAACAGG
Molecule: unclassified non-coding RNA, 253 nt
Filed under: uncultured Pseudomonadaceae bacterium
Lineage: Bacteria; Pseudomonadati; Pseudomonadota; Gammaproteobacteria; Pseudomonadales; Pseudomonadaceae
Description: contains 16S-23S intergenic spacer region
Rfam family: Bacterial small subunit ribosomal RNA
Source: RNAcentral